This 76-nucleotide transfer RNA is filed under the name Mycobacterium shinjukuense. RNAcentral describes it as "tRNA-Lys". It matches the Rfam family "tRNA". From Rfam's summary of the family: Transfer RNA (tRNA) molecules are approximately 80 nucleotides in length. Their secondary structure includes four short double-helical elements and three loops (D, anti-codon, and T loops). Further hydrogen bonds mediate the characteristic L-shaped molecular structure. tRNAs have two regions of fundamental functional importance: the anti-codon, which is responsible for specific mRNA codon recognition, and the 3' end, to which the tRNAs corresponding amino acid is attached (by aminoacyl-tRNA synthetases). tRNAs cope with the degeneracy of the genetic code in two manners: having more than one tRNA (with a specific anti-codon) for a particular amino acid; and 'wobble' base-pairing, i.e. permitting non-standard base-pairing at the 3rd anti-codon position. The record is from RNAcentral. Lineage: Bacteria; Bacillati; Actinomycetota; Actinomycetes; Mycobacteriales; Mycobacteriaceae. RNAcentral also lists the same sequence under 1 other name.
GCCCCUAUAGCUCAGUUGGUAGAGCUACGGACUUUUAAUCCGCAGGUCCCAGGUUCGAGUCCUGGUGGGGGCACCC